Triticum aestivum (bread wheat) is the source of this 1914-nucleotide long non-coding RNA. RefSeq lists it as uncharacterized. NCBI's taxonomy places the organism in Eukaryota, Viridiplantae, Streptophyta, Magnoliopsida, Poales, Poaceae. The transcript has 9 exons. The record is from RefSeq and is a predicted model, not a curated record.
AGUUGGACUGUCAGAUCUCGAACUUGAUGCGAUUUGGGCCGUCAGAUCUGUCCCUGGGAUGAGCUGGGCCGUUGCAUAAAAUUCGGCUUCGAACAGCUAUACAGUUCCUUUCUGACGUUCCCCGUUGGCUCACGCCUCUCUGUCGCGUGGGCUCGAUGCCUGGUGGGGCCCUUUUGUCGGCGUCGUGCGUGAGGCUAGCUGCGGUGUGUGGCUUCCACGCUGGAUCGUGCGGUGGCUCCGCAUGUAAUUUUGAGAACCCGUCGUGGGCAGUAUGGGGAUUUCAUGUGUCGACCCUUCGCGUGUCACGUGCUGGUUUGCUCGGGCGUGGAUGAGGUGAGUGAGGGCAUGUACAAUGGUUGAUAAGGUAGUCUUAUCUUAAGUUUUGCAUGUAAAUUUAUAAAUGACAAAAAAAAUUGUAUACAAUGGGUCAUCUCUCAGCCUUAUCUUCAAUAACUAGCUCUUCCUAAAAACAUGGUAAGACAUAUCGUACUAAGAGAUCAUCUCUUGUCUUCUCUUAAAUUAGAGAAAACAAGCCUUUUUUAUGAUUUUUCUCUCCUCCACCUCAUCAUUUAUCCUACGUGGCAUUGCUAAGAUGGACAUGCCCUGAGGGGUGCAUCCAUCUUCUUCCUGCUUCUCAUUCGUCCCUUUCUCUCCACUUCAUCCCUUUCCACCAGAUCCGACGCCGUUCCAGCUUAUCGUUGCCUCGCCGCCGUGAAAAAGUUGGGAAAGGGGAAGGAGGCUAUCGUCUUGCGGUUGGGCCGGAGUAGGGGUGAGUUGGAUGCCGCUGAUGUCUUCGUGCAACGGAGGAGGGUUAGGGUUUGCUAUUUGAUUGGUGGCUGCGGCGGCGGCGACGGAGUUGGCGGGGACGAGGGCGGCGGCGCCGUGACGGGGUCGUGGCAUGGCAGCGCCCAGCUCUACGUGUCGCUCAAGAUGGAGAACGUGUGGAUCAUUGGCGACCUCGUGCCGCACGUCUACGGCUCUGAGCCCAUCAUCGGCUCAUGAGAACCUGCCUGCGCCCUCGCGAUGGAAAGGGAGCUGGCGAACAUGCGGGAGGUCAGCUUAGUUGUGUUGCCGGACCAUGAAACACUUGAGUUCAAAUUCUUGCUCAAGCCCAAGGACGCGGAGACCCCGUGCAUCACUGAGGAACGGCCGACGCGGCUCCUCACCAGGGGCAUGCUCCAGGGUGAUGUGAGGCUUGCAAACUUCAGGCUUAAUGGAGAUGAUCAGUUGCUUGAGUAUAAAUGAAUCACCCACUCAUGCCGAUCGAGAUCGACUUGUGAUAUGACAAGCGACUCACGGUGUCACGGAAUGAGCAAUUAGAGAAGAGUGUUUUCACCAAAGGCGGGAGUGUUGGGUUCAUGUGCAUGCUUCACUAAAUCAUUUCCUUGUGACCUAGAAUAAGAUUUUUCCAAUUGGGAGUUGUAUGCUGAGAUUGUUCAUGUUGUGAAGUGCUUUGUGCGAAUGAUUAUUCUCUGUUCUUUGCCUCGGAUAACUACAAAUGAGGAGAUAACUACAAAUGAGGAGGUAUGAAGGAUUGACCGAGAAACUGAAUUAAAAUAUACUUGAUUUAAGUAUGGAUGCAUCAUGCCGUGGUUUAUUUGCAUCUCUGCACCUUUACUGGGAUGCUUACUGAAAGCCUUGCACAAGCGAAACCAGGCUAUCGUUUGGAGAAAAACACUAUACAUGCUGAGAAGAUAAGCUCAAGUAGAAGAGUACCACAUGUAAAUGACAAUGAUUUUUCAUAGAUACCCAGCGUUGGCUUGGUUGUGGAUAAAAGGAUCUAUGUACAGAAGCAUUACUAUCAUUUAUAGUUGUGUGCGCGUUUUGUACUGAAUCAUUACUAGUAUACAUGUUCUUAUCCCACCUCUUUGAGACAUAUUGUGCCUUUUGAACUCGCUGAGGCUGGAACAUAAC